UAAUGACAGUUGCCUGACAUAUGCACACCCCUUCAAGUAAAAUGUUACCCAAAUCAGUCCUACAAGAACGUUUUAAGGACAAAAACCUGACAAACGUCUUGAGUGACAGCAUCUAAACAAUGUUUUUUAGGUGUGGUAUCCGUAGUAUAAGCAGAAUAAUUGACUCCAAAAUAAUUAUGGCAUGUCUGCAAUUAUUUCUCACAUAAUUCUCUAAUUAUAGAAUGUAAUUUCAUAUUUAUAAAUAUUAUUUUAUGUUGAUGUUACAAAACAUAAUUGCAGUAAACUAGAAUCAAACAUUAUAUUUUUAACAUUAGUUUUUACAGUAUCCUAUUUAAUCCUAUGCUUUUUGUCCUCCAAAAUCAGCUGAAAGUGAUAUAAGCUCUGAUGAAGAUAGUCCAUCUUCUAACAGCGAAAUAGCCAGAAAUGAGACAGCGGACGCCUGGUCUGACCACAGGAACAGGAUCUUUCUUCUGCUCUCGGCAGCUUCUCCACUUCUGACGCUGGUUUUGGUGAUCUGGAGGAUUAUACAAAAACACAAUUUGCCCACACAAGGACGAGACGUCUGUCCUGAG
Pimephales promelas (fathead minnow) is the source of this 572-nucleotide non-coding RNA. NCBI's taxonomy places the organism in Eukaryota, Metazoa, Chordata, Actinopteri, Cypriniformes, Leuciscidae. The record is from RefSeq and is a predicted model, not a curated record.